CGUACGGGUGAGUAACACGUAUGCAACCUGCCUGCCACAGCCGGAUAAUCGGGAGAAAUUCCGUCUAAUACGGCAUAAUGCAUCGACGGGACAUCCUGUUGGUGCCAAAGGUUAAUUCCGGUGGCGGAUGGGCAUGCGUCGCAUUAGUUAGUUGGCGGUGUAACGGACCACCAAGACGACGAUGCGUAGGGGUUCUGAGAGGAAGGUCCCCCACACUGGUACUGAGACACGGACCAGACUCCUACGGAAGGCAGCAG
RNAcentral lists this ribosomal RNA (257 nucleotides) under uncultured bacterium. Its description in RNAcentral is "partial 16S ribosomal RNA". It matches the Rfam family "Bacterial small subunit ribosomal RNA", at positions 99 to 354 of the family's 1533-position model. The record is from RNAcentral.